CUGGGAGAACACAGAUUGCACCAAGUGAGUCACAGAGAUGAUUCCCUUCAUUGAGAUUGGCUUGGUUUUGCUAGAUGAUUAAUUUUUGUGUAGACAACAUAAAUUAUAGUUUCAUUGUGUAAUGAAGUGUCCAUUUGGACUUGAAGUUGCUUAGGAGUCAUUUUUAUGUGUUUUUAGGAAACAUAGCUUGUUGACGAGUUUGGUAGAAGAAUUGAAACUGUCUGUGCCAUAUUUGGCAAAUUGUGGAGUAUGGGAAGUAAAGUAAAAGUUAGCUCCUCAAAAGGAAAUCAACAAAGGACUGCUGUUAAUGCUUUGAAGGAGCAUGCUAAGAAGCAUUAUGGCAGCAUUACAGCAACCCAAAAUGGACCUAAGGAAUUAGGAGCUAGGAAGUAGAAGGUAGAAACCAGUGAAGUCUCUCAAACCUCAAACAGACAACCUGUUUUAGUUGCAGAGGUCAUGAUAAAAUAUCUUCCAUUGGGUAUAUUUGCAGUUUAAAGAUUUUGUCUAGCUCAGAGAAUGGUUAUAGUUUAUAAUUAAUGUGCUUGAGCCUCUAAUAACACAUAACAUUCCUUCUCUGUUUUCUUAAUAUAUUGGAAGUAUGAAAGCAAAUAAACAAAAAGAUGAAAUAUGAUUCUAAACUUUCAAAUUCAAAUUAAUUACUUCGCAAAUCAGAGGAUUAAUUACUUUGCAAAGCAGAGGUUGAGCUCUAAUAUAUGGAAAUGCAAGAAUUAGUAGGAUAAGCAAGGUUGCUUAAAGCACAGGCUCUCUCCCAGUUCAAUUUGUUUUUUGGGGUCAUGGACAAGUCAACCUUUUUCAAAUGCACAUUUACAACACUCUAAUUCUUGACAAGCUUACUGUUGACUUUGGCUUAUGUUGACAUUCUUUUCUUCAACAAGCAUGGUAAAAUUUAUUUUUAUUUUUCUGCUUUUGUUUCAGAUUCAAGAACAGUGAUGGCUAUUC
RNAcentral lists this unclassified non-coding RNA (960 nucleotides) under Hevea brasiliensis (rubber tree). Lineage: Eukaryota; Viridiplantae; Streptophyta; Magnoliopsida; Malpighiales; Euphorbiaceae. The record is from RNAcentral.